UCUCUCUAAAACUUAGGCAGAUCUUAACUUUUGAUCUGUAACUCCGAUUCAAGAUGUGUGAAAAAUUACGGAUUCGUCCUGAUGCCCUCUUUCUGGAGGUUUGAGUUAGAUCAAACGGUUGUUUCUAGAAGGCUCAUAUUAGGAGACUCGAUUUAUGAUUAGUAUAUUGAAAGUUGAUUCGUAUUGUCAAGGUCUGCAAGAGGGAGCAAGGGCUUUAUGGUGUGGAAAAUUGAUCUCUCCAAGGCUUAUUUGACAGAGGUGUGAGACAAGGGGAUCUCUUAUUUAAUUCAAGCUGCUACUGAUGUUGGACAAUGGAAGCAAGUUCAGUCCUCAAACUCUGGCCCUUGUGUGUCGCACUAAUUCUUUUCCAAUGACAUUAUCUUAUUAGCGGAA
Rosa rugosa (rugosa rose) is the source of this 393-nucleotide long non-coding RNA. RefSeq lists it as uncharacterized. The transcript is spliced from 3 exons. The record is from RefSeq and is a predicted model, not a curated record. NCBI's taxonomy places the organism in Eukaryota, Viridiplantae, Streptophyta, Magnoliopsida, Rosales, Rosaceae.